RNAcentral lists this ribosomal RNA (505 nucleotides) under uncultured bacterium. RNAcentral describes it as "partial 16S ribosomal RNA". It matches the Rfam family "Bacterial small subunit ribosomal RNA", at positions 28 to 507 of the family's 1533-position model. The record is from RNAcentral.
GACGAACGCUGGCGGCGUGCCUAAUACAUGCAAGUAGAACGCACAGUUUAUACCGUAGCUUGCUACACCAUAGACUGUGAGUUGCGAACGGGUGAGUAACGCGUAGGUAACCUGCCUGGUAGCGGGGGAUAACUAUUGGAAACGAUAGCUAAUACCGCAUAAUAUUAAUUAUUGCAUGAUAAUUAAUUGAAAGGUGCAAUUGCACCACUACCAGAUGGACCUGCGUUGUAUUAGCUAGUAGGUGAGGUAACGGCUCACCUAGGCGACGAUACAUAGCCGACCUGAGAGGGUGAUCGGCCACACUGGGACUGAGACACGGCCCAGACUCCUACGGGAGGCAGCAGUAGGGAAUCUUCGGCAAUGGACGAAAGUCUGACCGAGCAACGCCGCGUGAGUGAAGAAGGUUUUCGGAUCGUAAAGCUCUGUUGUAAGGGAAGAACGGGUGUGAGAGUGGAAAGUUCACACUGUGACGGUAUCUUACCAGAAAGGGACGGCUAACUACGUG